AUUGAACGCUGCGGCAGGCUUAACACAUGCAAGUCGAGCGAGCGGCGGACGGGUGAGUAAGGCUUAGGAAUCUGCCUAUUAGUGGGGGACAACAUCACGAAAGGGAUGCUAAUACCGCAUACUAAUAGAUGAGCCUAAGUCGGAUUAGCUAGUUGGGGGGGUAAAGGCCUACCAAGGCGACGAUCGGUAGCGGGUCUGAGAGGAUGAUCCGCGAGACUCGGACUCAGACACGGCGCGGACUCGUCCGGUAUGCUGCAGUGGGGAGUAUUGGACAAUGGGGGGAACCGUGCGCCAGCCAUGCGGCGUGUGUGAAGAAGGCCUUAUGGUUCUAAAGGGUUUUAAGCGAGGAGGGGUUACUCGGAGAAUAAGCACCGGCUAACUCUGUGCCAGCAGCCGCGGUAAUUC
This 405-nucleotide ribosomal RNA is filed under the name uncultured bacterium. RNAcentral's name for it is "partial 16S ribosomal RNA". It matches the Rfam family "Bacterial small subunit ribosomal RNA", at positions 30 to 526 of the family's 1533-position model. The record is from RNAcentral.